GGAAAUAGCUCAAUGGUAGAGCCCAUGCUUAGCAUGCAUGAGGUCCUAGGUUCAAUCCCCAAGACCUCCA
This 70-nucleotide transfer RNA is filed under the name Camelus bactrianus (Bactrian camel). It matches the Rfam family "tRNA". Rfam says of the family: Transfer RNA (tRNA) molecules are approximately 80 nucleotides in length. Their secondary structure includes four short double-helical elements and three loops (D, anti-codon, and T loops). RNAcentral also lists the same sequence under 2 other names. The record is from Rfam by way of RNAcentral. Lineage: Eukaryota; Metazoa; Chordata; Mammalia; Artiodactyla; Camelidae.